This 320-nucleotide ribosomal RNA is filed under the name uncultured bacterium. RNAcentral's name for it is "bacterial SSU rRNA". It matches the Rfam family "Bacterial small subunit ribosomal RNA", at positions 28 to 334 of the family's 1533-position model. The record is from RNAcentral.
GAUGAACGCUAGCUACAGGCUUAACACAUGCAAGUCGAGGGGCAGCAUGAAAGGAACUUCGGUUCUUUUUGAUGGCGACCGGCGCACGGGUGCGUAACGCGUAUCGAACCUGCCUCAUACUCGGGGAUAGCCUUGCGAAAGUAAGAUUAAUACCCGGCGGUCUCGGAUGGCCGCAUGACUAUCCGAGUGAAGAUUUAUCGGUAUGAGAUGGCGAUGCGUCCCAUUAGCUAGUUGGUGAGGUAAUGGCUCACCAAGGCAUCGAUGGAUAGGGGUUCUGGAGAGGAAGGUCCCCCCACAUUGGAACUGAGACACGGUACCAA